Molecule: ribosomal RNA, 512 nt
Filed under: Vespa mocsaryana
Lineage: Eukaryota; Metazoa; Arthropoda; Insecta; Hymenoptera; Vespidae
Description: partial large subunit ribosomal RNA
Rfam family: Bacterial large subunit ribosomal RNA (bases 386-512)
Source: RNAcentral
GGCUUAUUAGAUAAAAAUAAUAGGUCUAUUCUGCCCAUUGAUUAAAAUUAAAAGGCUGCAGUAUAUUGACUGUACAAAGGUAGCAAAAUCAUUUGUUUUUUAAUUGAAAACUGGAAUGAAAGAGUGGAUGAAAUAUAAGUUGUCUCAAUAUAAUAGAGUUGAAUUUAAAUUAAAAGUUAAAAUGCUUUUAUAUAUUUAUAAGACGAUAAGACCCUAUAGAAUUUAAUAAAAUUUAUUUUUUAAAAUUAAUAUUUUAAUAAAAUUUAAUUGAUAAAUAUUAUUUUAUUGGGAGGAUAAUUAAAUUAAUAAAACUUUAAUAAAAUAUAAACAUAGAUGAAUGAAUUAGUUGAUUAUUAUUAUAAUUAUUAGAAUAAAUUACCUUAGGGAUAACAGCGUUAUAAUUUUGGAGAGUUCAUAUUGAUAAAAUUGUUUGCGACCUCGAUGUUGAAUUAUGAUAAAAAUUAAAUGGAGAAAUUUAAUAUUUUAGUCUGUUCGACUAUUAAAAUCAUACA